Molecule: transfer RNA, 74 nt
Filed under: Clostridioides sp.
Lineage: Bacteria; Bacillati; Bacillota; Clostridia; Peptostreptococcales; Peptostreptococcaceae
Description: tRNA-Cys
Rfam family: tRNA
About the family: Transfer RNA (tRNA) molecules are approximately 80 nucleotides in length. Their secondary structure includes four short double-helical elements and three loops (D, anti-codon, and T loops). Further hydrogen bonds mediate the characteristic L-shaped molecular structure. tRNAs have two regions of fundamental functional importance: the anti-codon, which is responsible for specific mRNA codon recognition, and the 3' end, to which the tRNAs corresponding amino acid is attached (by aminoacyl-tRNA synthetases). tRNAs cope with the degeneracy of the genetic code in two manners: having more than one tRNA (with a specific anti-codon) for a particular amino acid; and 'wobble' base-pairing, i.e. permitting non-standard base-pairing at the 3rd anti-codon position.
Source: RNAcentral
GGAGACAUAGCCAAGUGGUAAGGCAAUGGACUGCAACUCCUUGAUCCCCAGUUCAAAUCUGGGUGUCUCCUCCA